Molecule: transfer RNA, 73 nt
Filed under: Ailuropoda melanoleuca (giant panda)
Lineage: Eukaryota; Metazoa; Chordata; Mammalia; Carnivora; Ursidae
Rfam family: tRNA
About the family: Transfer RNA (tRNA) molecules are approximately 80 nucleotides in length. Their secondary structure includes four short double-helical elements and three loops (D, anti-codon, and T loops). Further hydrogen bonds mediate the characteristic L-shaped molecular structure. tRNAs have two regions of fundamental functional importance: the anti-codon, which is responsible for specific mRNA codon recognition, and the 3' end, to which the tRNAs corresponding amino acid is attached (by aminoacyl-tRNA synthetases). tRNAs cope with the degeneracy of the genetic code in two manners: having more than one tRNA (with a specific anti-codon) for a particular amino acid; and 'wobble' base-pairing, i.e. permitting non-standard base-pairing at the 3rd anti-codon position.
Source: Rfam by way of RNAcentral
GCCUGACUGGCUCAACUGGUAGAGCAUGAGACUCUUGUUCUCAGGGCUGUGAGUUCAAUCUCCACACUGGGCG